GGGAUUGUGGCUCAGUGGUAGAGUACUUGCUUAAAAUGCAUGAAUCACUGAGUUCAAUCCUCAGCAUCACA
RNAcentral lists this transfer RNA (71 nucleotides) under Marmota monax (woodchuck). Its description in RNAcentral is "tRNA.Phe". The stretch from base 6 to 66 matches the Rfam family "tRNA", at positions 6 to 65 of the family's 71-position model. From Rfam's summary of the family: Transfer RNA (tRNA) molecules are approximately 80 nucleotides in length. Their secondary structure includes four short double-helical elements and three loops (D, anti-codon, and T loops). Lineage: Eukaryota; Metazoa; Chordata; Mammalia; Rodentia; Sciuridae. The record is from RNAcentral.